Zalophus californianus (California sea lion) is the source of this 106-nucleotide small nuclear RNA. NCBI's taxonomy places the organism in Eukaryota, Metazoa, Chordata, Mammalia, Carnivora, Otariidae. The record is from Ensembl.
UUUGCUCACUUCAGCAGCAGAAUAUACUAAAAUUGGAACAACACAGAGAUUAGCACAGCCCCUGAAGAAGGAUGACAUGCAAAUUUGUGGAGCGUUCCAUAUUAAA